RNAcentral lists this ribosomal RNA (903 nucleotides) under Triticum aestivum (bread wheat). Its description in RNAcentral is "partial small subunit ribosomal RNA". Lineage: Eukaryota; Viridiplantae; Streptophyta; Magnoliopsida; Poales; Poaceae. The record is from RNAcentral.
AUGGCGGCAGCGGCUGGAGAGGCCCCGCGGGCGCUGUCCCAGAAGGAGCAGGACAUACAGAUGAUGCUCGCCGCCGACGUCCACCUCGGCACCAAGAACUGCGACUUCCAGAUGGAGCGCUACGCCUACAAGCGCCGCUCCGACGGCAUCUACAUCAUCAAUCUGGGCAAGACGUGGGAGAAGCUCCAGCUCGCGGCGAGGGUCAUCGUCGCCAUCGAGAACCCCCAGGACAUCAUCGUCCAGUCCGCCCGCCCCUACGGCCAGCGCGCCGUCCUCAAGUUCGCGCAGCACACCGGCGCCAACGCCAUCGCCGGGAGGCACACCCCUGGUACCUUCACCAACCAGAUGCAGACCUCCUUCAGCGAGCCCCGGCUGCUCAUCCUCACCGACCCAAGGACCGACCACCAGCCCAUCAAGGAGUCUGCUCUGGGGAACAUCCCUACCAUUGCCUUCUGUGACACCGACUCUCCCAUGCGAUACGUCGAUAUCGGUAUCCCAGCAAACAACAAGGGGAGGAACAGCAUUGGCUGCCUCUACUGGCUCUUGGCCAGGAUGGUUCUGCAGAUGAGGGGCACCAUCCUGCCAGGGCACAAGUGGGAUGUCAUGGUUGAUCUGUUCUUCUACAGGGACCCUGAGGAAGCCAAGGAGCAGGAGGAUGAAGCUGCUGGAGCCCCAGAGUAUGCUGCCAUCACUGAUUACGGAGCAGCAGCUGGUCAAUGGGGUGGUGACCAGUGGACCUCUGAUGCGCCUGCUCCCCCACCUGUUACUGCUCCAGUUGCUGGUGGCGAUGGAUGGGAUGCAGCAGGGGCACCUGUUGCUGUGGAAGGUGCCGUCCCUGCUCCUGUUGUGGCUGCUACUGGCUGGGACGCCGCGGUGCAACCCCCUGCUCAAGGCUGGGAGUAG